GUUGGGUUUCAUUUUGAUAAGAUCUUUUGGUUUCAUCUACAUUAUUGGAUUUUUUUUUUAUGGUAUAGUGUUGCAUUGUUAUUCUACUUUUUUUUUUUUGUAGUUUUCUUGGAUUUUUUUUUGUUAUCCUUAUUUUAGGUCUAGUUCAUAAUGUUUCUUACCUCUUUCCUAUAUAUUUCUGAUUGAUGAGUUGGUAGAUGCUUCUCUAUGUAACUUUGAAU
This 221-nucleotide long non-coding RNA is filed under the name Gossypium raimondii (Peruvian cotton). Its description in RNAcentral is "long non-coding RNA (GRAI_LNC010739)". Lineage: Eukaryota; Viridiplantae; Streptophyta; Magnoliopsida; Malvales; Malvaceae. The record is from RNAcentral.